CGCGCCUUCCCUCGAGCGCGGGGGCCGGCGAGGGGCUCCGUGGGCCGCGCGGCCGCCUGGCGCCGGGGUACGCCCACGUGGAGUGCUGGUGGCGGGGAGAGGCCGCGGAGCCAGCGGCGAGGAGGUCGGAGUGCGCUGGAGACGCGUCCCGGCUGACGGCUGGGAGAGAUACGGGAAACUUCACUCUUUAUCUCUGCCUUUUGGCUAGCACCUAAUUAGCACACAGGCUUCCUGCAUGCCACCUGUACCUGCCUGUUUCCAGGGGUAAAGGAAGCUACGUUCAAGUCUUGAGAGGAAGUUCAAGAUGGCUGUGUAGAAGAUCCUGAAUUCACCUCCUCCCAUGGACACACAUAUGGAACAAGUCCCUCUGAAAGAGACCUGAAAACUAGCUGAGCAGCUCCUCCACAACAAAGGAUAAAAGAGCCACAUCGAGACAGGGUCAAGGUCUUUGCUUUGUGUGUGGAUCUGUUGUUGGUUGGAGCUCACCUUCGUUUGUUAAACCAUAGAGCAUCAUUCAGAUUCCAGUUUUAGCUUUGUUGAGUGGUGCAAGAACUUAAAGACACGUGCAUGAUAAUGACUUUGGGGAAGGAAGAGAGACUCCAGAACUACUUUGUUCUCUUCAAAGACUGAGCCUCAGGAGAAAAACUGGACCAGUCAACCCUAUGAGAAGUGCCGUGGAAGUGUUAAAGAAAAGGAUCGAGAGGCCAGAAUAUAUGAUAGCAGAAAAGCUUCAGAAGUAUGGAUGAUCUUAGGAUGAGGAAGUUGAGGUGCAAAUAUGCUAAGAUGACUCCUUGUCUCACAGAAGUGUCAGGGCCAGGAUCUGAACCCAGGGAGUCUGGUGCUGAGGAGAACCUUAUCCGCCUUCUAAUGUAUGAUGUGAACACACCAGUAAGGGCUACAAUCAGUCUCCAUCUCCUAAAAUUGUGCUACUCACCAGAUGCACCGACAUCACCUGGGAGCUUAUGAAAAAUACAGCAUCUCAUCCUCACCACAGACCUACCAAAUUUUAAUUUGCAUUUUAAGAAGAUCCCCAGCUUCCGGCCCUGGACUUCAGACCCACUCUUGUCAUGAAUCGCAACUUGUUACCUCUUGGAUCCUGAACUAAGUCUGACGGUAAAUGCCGUAUUCGUGUGACCCCCCGUGAGCAUGGAGUGCUUCUUCUGUAAGUCACCACAUGUUGGGGCC
Balaenoptera acutorostrata (minke whale) is the source of this 1185-nucleotide long non-coding RNA. RefSeq lists it as uncharacterized. The transcript is spliced from 8 exons. The record is from RefSeq and is a predicted model, not a curated record. Lineage: Eukaryota; Metazoa; Chordata; Mammalia; Artiodactyla; Balaenopteridae.